Molecule: ribosomal RNA, 440 nt
Filed under: uncultured Nitrospirales bacterium
Lineage: Bacteria; Pseudomonadati; Nitrospirota; Nitrospiria; Nitrospirales
Description: partial 16S ribosomal RNA
Rfam family: Bacterial small subunit ribosomal RNA
Source: RNAcentral
CCUACGGGAGGCAGCAGUGGGGAAUCUUGGACAAUGGGCGAAAGCCUGAUCCAGCGACGCCGCGUGGAGGACGAAGGCCUUCGGGUUGUAAACUCCUUUUAGAGGGGAAAAGGGAGGAUGGUACCCUCUGAAUAAGCCACGGCUAACUCUGUGCCAGCAGCCGCGGUAAGACAGAGGUGGCGAGCGUUGCUCGGAAUCACUGGGCUUAAAGGGCGUGUAGGCGGUUAUGCAAGUGCUGGGUGGAAUGCUAUGGCUAAACCAUAGAGCUGCCCUGCAGACUGCAUGACUGGAGUGAGCGAGGGGAGGGCGGAAUUCCCGGUGUAGGGGUGAAAUGCGUAGAUAUCUGGAGGAACACCGGAGGCGAAGGCGGUCUCCUGGCCCGUUACUGACGCUCAGGCACGAAAGCGUGGGGAGCAAACAGGAUUAGAUACCCCGGUAGU